GGGCGAUGACCAAUCAUAUCGAAUGGUUUCCAUGACGAAUUAGACCCAAGGCUUGGAGACUUUCUUCAAGCAAAGAUGGCUGACAAAAAAUACGAAAGGAUGGAAGCAAAUGGACUCCUGAAACAACCAGCAAACCAGGCUGCCAUCUGGUGAAACAGUGGAUAUAUAAAGAAUCUAGCUAACUAAAGAAUUUACUGCAAAUUGAAUGUACAAUUUUGUAAGAUUGCCUUGCUGAUAUUUGCCAUGCAGAUAGAUGAAAAAAUGUAGCUAGCUAUGUUCUUGCUUAUUGUGCAGUGGAUGAUUAUAAUACCUGUAUGCCUACGGAUGUGUAGCUAGCUAUCUAGCCGAUCUGUGAAUGGAACCAAACGUUUGGUAUACAUAUUAGUUCAGAACCUAGCUAUGAACCUCAGCUAUCAUAGCCAGUUGUAUCAACUUCAAAACAGCCCGAAUGACAUUAAUGAAGCCUAUCGAUUGAGUAGAAUAUAAUAUAACUUUAUGCCAAGGAUGCAAGUCGAAUAUACAUGUAGUUAUUACCAUGCAUGAGAUCCCCACAUUGUAGCCUGUACACUUAAUGUAUUCACUGAUCAUGUACUCUACCUUGGCAAAUAAAGUGCUGUUCAGGUAUGAAAACUCC
Long non-coding RNA from Oncorhynchus kisutch (coho salmon), 634 nucleotides. RefSeq lists it as uncharacterized. The transcript is spliced from 2 exons. Lineage: Eukaryota; Metazoa; Chordata; Actinopteri; Salmoniformes; Salmonidae. The record is from RefSeq and is a predicted model, not a curated record.